UACGUAGGGACCGAGCGUUGUCCGGAAUCAUUGGGCGUAAAGAGCGUGUAGGCGGCCACUUAAGUCCUGCGUGAAAUCUUGCGGCUCAACCGCAAGCGGUCGUGGGAAACUGGGUGGCUAGAGUGCGGGAGAGGAGAGUGGAAUUCCUGGUGUAGCGGUGGAAUGCGCAGAUAUCAGGAAGAACACACGUGGCGAAGGCGGCUCUCUGGAACGCAACUGACGCUGAGACGCGAAAGCGUGGGGAGCAAACAGG
This 253-nucleotide ribosomal RNA is filed under the name uncultured bacterium. Its description in RNAcentral is "partial 16S ribosomal RNA". It matches the Rfam family "Bacterial small subunit ribosomal RNA", at positions 524 to 776 of the family's 1533-position model. The record is from RNAcentral.